CUACGGGGCGCACCAGUGGGGAAUAUUGGACAAUGGGGGAAACCCUGAUCCAGCAAUGCCGCGUGUGUGAAGAAGGCCUGCGGGUUGUAAAGCACUUUCGGUUGGGAGGACUGCUUCUAGCACUAAUAUUGUUGGAAGUUGACGUUACCUUCAGAAGAAGCACCGGCUACUCCGUGCCAGCAGCCGCGGUAAUACGGAAGGUGCAAGCGUUAAUCGGAAUUACUGGGCGUAAAGCGCGCGUAGGCGGCUAGAUCAGUCGGGUGUGAAAGCCCAGGGCUUAACCUGGGAACUGCAUCCGAUACUGUCUAGCUUGAGUACAGGAGAGGAGAGUGGAAUUCCACAUGUAGCGGUGAAAUGCGUAGAUAUGUGGAGGAACACCAAUGGCGAAGGCAGCUCUCUGGCCUGAUACUGACGCUGAGGUGCGAAAGCGUGGGGAGCAAACAGGAUUAGAUACCCGCGUAGUC
RNAcentral lists this ribosomal RNA (464 nucleotides) under uncultured bacterium. RNAcentral describes it as "partial 16S ribosomal RNA". It matches the Rfam family "Bacterial small subunit ribosomal RNA", at positions 339 to 795 of the family's 1533-position model. The record is from RNAcentral.